RNAcentral lists this ribosomal RNA (253 nucleotides) under uncultured bacterium. RNAcentral's name for it is "partial 16S ribosomal RNA". It matches the Rfam family "Bacterial small subunit ribosomal RNA", at positions 524 to 776 of the family's 1533-position model. The record is from RNAcentral.
UACGUAGGGGGCAAGCGUUGUCCGGAAUCACUGGGCGUAAAGCGCACGUAGGCGGCUUCUUAAGUCAGGGGUGAAAUCCUGGAGCUCAACUCCAGAACUGCCUUUGAUACUGAGAAGCUUGAGUCCGGGAGAGGUGAGUGGAACUGCGAGUGUAGAGGUGAAAUUCGUAGAUAUUCGCAAGAACACCAGUGGCGAAGGCGGCUCACUGGCCCGGUACUGACGCUGAGGUGCGAAAGCGUGGGGAGCAAACAGG